UAGGGAAUCUUCCGCAAUGGACGAAAGUCUGACGGAGCAACGCCGCGUGAGCGAAGAAGGCCUUCGGGUCGUAAAGCUCUGUUGUUAGGGAAGAACAAGUAUCGGAGUAACUGCCGGUACCUUGACGGUACCUAACCAGAAAGCCACGGCUAACUACGUGCCAGCAGCCGCGGUAAUACGUAGGUGGCAAGCGUUGUCCGGAAUUAUUGGGCGUAAAGCGCGCGCAGGCGGUCCUUUAAGUCUGAUGUGAAAGCCCACGGCUCAACCGUGGAGGGUCAUUGGAAACUGGGGGACUUGAGUGCAGAAGAGGAGAGUGGAAUUCCACGUGUAGCGGUGAAAUGCGUAGAGAUGUGGAGGAACACCAGUGGCGAAGGCGACUCUCUGGUCUGUAACUGACGCUGAGGCGCGAAAGCGUGGGGAGCAAACAGGAUUAGAUACCCUGGGUAGUCCGACGCCGGUAAACGAUGAGUGCUAAGUGUUAGAGGGUUUCCGCCCUUUAGUGCUGC
RNAcentral lists this ribosomal RNA (506 nucleotides) under uncultured Bacillota bacterium. RNAcentral describes it as "bacterial SSU rRNA". It matches the Rfam family "Bacterial small subunit ribosomal RNA", at positions 355 to 849 of the family's 1533-position model. The record is from RNAcentral. Lineage: Bacteria; Bacillati; Bacillota.